UACAGAGGUCUCAAGCGUUGUUCGGAUUCAUUGGGCGUAAAGGGUGCGUAGGUGGCGCGGUAAGUCGGGUGUGAAAUUUCGGAGCUUAACUCCGAAACUGCAUUCGAUACUGCCGUGCUUGAGGACUGGAGAGGAGACUGGAAUUUACGGUGUAGCAGUGAAAUGCGUAGAGAUCGUAAGGAAGACCAGUGGCGAAGGCGGGUCUCUGGACAGUUCCUGACACUGAGGCGCGAAGGCCAGGGGAGCAAACGGG
This 253-nucleotide ribosomal RNA is filed under the name uncultured bacterium. RNAcentral describes it as "partial 16S ribosomal RNA". It matches the Rfam family "Bacterial small subunit ribosomal RNA", at positions 524 to 776 of the family's 1533-position model. The record is from RNAcentral.